This is a long non-coding RNA of Topomyia yanbarensis, 331 nucleotides long. RefSeq lists it as uncharacterized. The transcript is spliced from 3 exons. The record is from RefSeq and is a predicted model, not a curated record. Lineage: Eukaryota; Metazoa; Arthropoda; Insecta; Diptera; Culicidae.
AGCGUUUUCGCGACUGUCGCAUCGGCCCCCGUCGCGUGUGCAUCAUCUCAAUUUGUCAAACGAACGUGCUUUUGUGGAUCUUUAAACAAGCGCGGUAAGGAAAAGAAGUGAAUGUUUGAAUUAUAGCCAGACUGCUUGAGUUCGAACCGGCAGCGGAAGGCGGCAAUAAGUGGAUCAUUUCGAAGGCGGCACGGGGUAAAUGUUUUCAUCAAUGGCGACUGCAGCGAUUUACCAAAGUUUACUGUGAUAAUUAGCGUGUUGAUGAAUGUUGUCUGAGAGGGAAAAGAGAGCGAGAGAAUUUUGAGCCGAUAGGACAGCUAGAUUGUGUGCA